This is a long non-coding RNA of Pygocentrus nattereri (red-bellied piranha), 831 nucleotides long. The record is from Ensembl. NCBI's taxonomy places the organism in Eukaryota, Metazoa, Chordata, Actinopteri, Characiformes, Serrasalmidae.
UCGUCAGAGUGGAGGCUGCAUCUGGCUGCAUCUGGCACCAAUCUUUGCUGUCUGGACUAAAUGAAAAUGCUGGUCAUCUUUGGAAUCUUGGUGAUGUUCACAGAAGCUGGAGUGGGUUUGUUGUCCAUAAACCCUGUUUGUAGAUUUACUCAGAGUGAUCCAUGUUAUGGAGCUGUGGGACGACCGCUGUACCUGCAGCUGCCAUCUGAGGAUGAAUUACGCUUAAAGAAGAACAUCAAUGGAGUUCCUACUGAGCGUAUUUUCAGAUUUAUAAACCAUAACAUCACAUUAAACCAUUCAGUUUAUCCAAGAUGGCAGUUUGUUACUGAUAACAGAUCCAUGAUAAUCAGCAGUGCAGAGAAAAGAAACUCAGGAAGAUACACUUUAGAAACAUAUGAUUCUGCAGGGAAUAACAGAGGCGUUUAUCAUCUCCAGCUGGUUAUUGAAGCUGUGGUGUCCUCAGUGACUGUGACAGACAGCUGCUUAUCAAUUGAGAAGAGGAACGUUUACUGUUCGUCUGAUGGAGAUAAUGUGCAAUACAGCUGGACUUUCCAACAUACACACCAACUGGCUGAUGUGAACCAGACUCUUCUGCUGGACAAGGAAGUUCAUGGAAGUGUCACCUGCUAUGCUCAGAAUCAUGUUAGCCAUGGGAAAAAAACUAUUGAGAUACAGCAGUGUCCUGAUCCUACAACUGUGACCCCCAUUUCAACUCUGAAGCCUAAAGUGACACCAAGGACACAAUCAGGUAGUGGUACAAGUCUGGCAGUGACUGAUUGCUCCUCUAACCCUCAAGUGCCUCUCAGUUUUCAGAAUAAGAGAAUAGCUUGA